UUGACUAGAUUCCUGGGUUUGAAUCUCCACAUAUAUGCCUGUAAAACUGUUCCUCCUUCCAUCGCGAUGGACACAACGACCCUUUAUGAAAUGUUCAUCUGUCUGUUGUUCGUAUUAAUGUAGUUCCUCUACUGACAGGGUCUAAAGGUGGAAUUUGCUUGAAAGGUUUAUUUUUCAUACUAAUGGAAGUUAUUGAAGUGAUCGAUGUCUCGGUUGUCUCAUCAGUUUGUAGCAUAGUGAUGCGUUUAGAGGCAGUAUGAUUAAGUCUCGUGACCCUUCUAGUGGCAUUCUAUUGCAGUGUUACAUAGUGGAAUGGCUCUAGUUUCCAAACAGCCACUGUGAUGUCUUCCUGGGUUUUCCUCUUGUAGCCUAUUGACCAUUCAUACAACAUCUACAGAUUGAUGCCAGGUCUGCCUUGAAUCGAACUGGAAACCACAGUGCUCGCGGUGGUCAGCAGUGUUGUCUUAUUGUCCUGCAUCCUGUUUGAAAGGAUUUUAAAUAGUGACUUAUGAACAUCCGACUCUAUUGAUGUGAGAGCUGAUUAUACCACAGGGAAGUGAUAUAAUCGCUGGACUGUCAGACUGGAUGCAUGCACACACUUGUAAUUGACCUUCACAGAAUAAAGGUCAAUUUAGAAAAACUUACUUUGCUGACAGAACGACAGAUCAGCAGCAUUGCAUCCUGGGAAGUGAGCUUUAACAUUUGAAAUCGGUGGUUUAUAUGACAGUGAGGUAUUAUUCAGUGAGGUCUAGAUCGGGAAACCAUGGAACAUGGUGUGUGUGUCAUUCACAUAAACUUCAGGAAUACUACAGAGACAUAGAAACAUUGUAUGUUGCGAACUUGUGGAUCUUAACAAAAUGGGCUCGGACUUAGUCGUGAUGAUUCUCGGAGAGUGCGUCCGAAGGAUCGAUGGGCCUCUGCGGAGAGCUUCUUCAAAAGCAGGACAUUCCAGGUCAGAAAUGAGAGUCUACCAGAUCUAAGUCGAAGUUUGGACUUUGAACCAG
Molecule: long non-coding RNA, 1004 nt
Organism: Haliotis rubra (blacklip abalone)
Lineage: Eukaryota; Metazoa; Mollusca; Gastropoda; Lepetellida; Haliotidae
Exons: 3
Source: RefSeq, a predicted model, not a curated record